RNAcentral lists this ribosomal RNA (585 nucleotides) under Amanita sp. Its description in RNAcentral is "partial large subunit ribosomal RNA". It matches the Rfam family "Eukaryotic large subunit ribosomal RNA", at positions 77 to 629 of the family's 3401-position model. Lineage: Eukaryota; Fungi; Basidiomycota; Agaricomycetes; Agaricales; Amanitaceae. The record is from RNAcentral.
CCCCUAGUAACUGCGAGUGAAAUGGGAAAAGCUCAAAUUUGAAAUCUGGCAGUCUCCUUUUUCUUCUUUGGCUGUCCGAGUUGUAAUCUAGAGAAGUGCUUACCUACACUGGACCAUGUAUAAGUCUCCUGGAAUGGAGCGUCAUAGAGGGUGAGAAUCCCGUCUUUGACAUGGACUGCCAGUGUGUUGUGGUGUGCUCUCAAAGAGUCGAGUUGUUUGGGAAUGCAGCUCUAAAUGGGUGGUAAACUCCAUCUAAAGCUAAAUAUUGGCAAGAGACCGAUAGUGAACAAGUACCGUGAGGGAAAGAUGAAAAGGACUUUGGAAAGAGAGUUAAACAGUAUGUGAAAUUGUUGAAAGGGAAACGCUUGAAGUCAGUUAUGUUGGUUAGGGAUCAGCCCAGCUAAUUUUGCUGAGUGAAUUUCCUAGUCUGACAGGCCAACAUCAGUUCUGACUGCUAGAAAAGAGCAGAGGGAAUGUGGCACCUUUGGGUGUGUUAUAGCCUUUUGUCAUAUGUGGCAGUUGGGACUGAGGAAUGCAGCGUGCUGUAAAGCUGGGUUAUGACCACUUUCGCGCUUAGGAUGUUGG